UACGGAGGGUGCAAGCGUUGUUCGGAUUUACUGGGCGUAAAGCGCGCGCAGGCGGAUUGACAAGUCAGAUGUGAAAUCUCGGGGCUCAACCCCGAAACUGCGUCUGAAACUGUUAGUCUAGAAUCUCAUAGGGGGUAGGGGAAUUUCACGUGUAGGGGUAAAAUCCGUAGAGAUGUGAAGGAACACCUGAGGCGAAGGCGCCUGCCUGGAUGAGUAUUGACGCUGAGGCGCGAAAGCGUGGGGAGCAAACAGG
This 253-nucleotide ribosomal RNA is filed under the name uncultured bacterium. RNAcentral describes it as "partial 16S ribosomal RNA". It matches the Rfam family "Bacterial small subunit ribosomal RNA", at positions 524 to 776 of the family's 1533-position model. The record is from RNAcentral.